Molecule: ribosomal RNA, 426 nt
Filed under: uncultured bacterium
Lineage: Bacteria
Description: bacterial SSU rRNA
Rfam family: Bacterial small subunit ribosomal RNA
Source: RNAcentral
AACGAACGCUGGCGGCAGGCUUAACACAUGCAAGUCGAACGGGUGUAGCAAUACAUCAGUGGCAGACGGGUGAGUAACACGUGGGAACCUUCCUAGGGGUACGGAACAACUCAGGGAAACUUGAGCUAAUACCGUAUACGUCCGUGAGGAGAAAGAUUUAUCGCCCUUACGACGGGCCCGCGUCGGAUUAGCUAGUUGGUGGGGUAACGGCCGUACCAAGGCGACGAUCCGUAGCUGAUCUUAGAGGAUGAUCAGCCACACUGGGACUGAGACACGGCCCAGACUCCUACGGGAGGCAGCAGUGGGGAAUCUUGGACAAUGGGCGCAAGCCUGAUCCAGCCAUGCCGCGUGAGUGAAGAAGGUCUUCGGAUUGUAAAGCUCUUUUGCCAGGGACGAUAAUGACGGUACCUGGAGAAUAAGCCCCGG